ACGGGAGGCAGCAGUCGGGAGUAUUGCGCAAUGGAGGAAACUCUGACGCAGUGACGCCGCGUAUAGGAAGAAGGUUUUCGGAUUGUAAACUAUUGUCGUUAGGGAAGAUACAAGACAGUACCUAAGGAGGAAGCCCCGGCUAACUAUGUGCCAGCAGCCGCGGUCAUACAUAGGGGGCAAGCGUUAUCCGGAAUUAUUGGGUUUAAAGGGUGCGUAGACGGAGAAACAAGUUAGUUGUGAAAUCCCUCGGCUUAACUGAGGAACUGCAACUAAAACUAUUUCCCUUGAGUGUCGGAGGGGAAAGUGGAAUUCCUAGUGUAGCGGUGAAAUGCGUAGAUAUUAGGAGGAACACCGGUGGCGAAGGCGACUUUCUGGACGAUAACUGACGCUGAUGCACGAAAGUGUGGGGAGCAAACAGGAUUAGAUACCCUGGUA
Molecule: ribosomal RNA, 435 nt
Filed under: uncultured Oscillospiraceae bacterium
Lineage: Bacteria; Bacillati; Bacillota; Clostridia; Eubacteriales; Oscillospiraceae
Description: bacterial SSU rRNA
Rfam family: Bacterial small subunit ribosomal RNA
Source: RNAcentral